Molecule: ribosomal RNA, 395 nt
Filed under: Streptococcus mitis
Lineage: Bacteria; Bacillati; Bacillota; Bacilli; Lactobacillales; Streptococcaceae
Description: bacterial SSU rRNA
Rfam family: Bacterial small subunit ribosomal RNA
Source: RNAcentral
GGCGGCGUGCCUAAUACAUGCAAGUAGAACGCUGAAGGAGGAGCUUGCUUCUCUGGAUGAGUUGCGAACGGGUGAGUAACGCGUAGGUAACCGCCUGGUAGCGGGGGAUAACUAUUGGAAACGAUAGCUAAUACCGCAUAAUAGUAGAUGUUGCAUGACAUUUGCUUAAAAGGUGCAAUUGCAUCACUACCAGAUGGACCUGCGUUGUAUUAGCUAGUUGGUGAGGUAACGGCUCACCAAGGCAACGAUACAUAGCCGACCUGAGAGGGUGAUCGGCCACACUGGGACUGAGACACGGCCCAGACUCCUACGGGAGGCAGCAGUAGGGAAUCUUCGGCAAUGGACGGAAGUCUGACCGAGCAACGCCGCGUGAGUGAAGAAGGUUUUCGGAUCGU